UGGGGAAUAUUGCACAAUGGGCGCAAGCCUGAUGCAGCCAUGCCGCGUGUAUGAAGAAGGCCUUCGGGUUGUAAAGUACUUUCAGCGAGGAGGAAAGCGGUAAGGUUAAUAACCUUAUCGAUUGACGUUACUCGCAGAAGAAGCACCGGCUAACUCCGUGCCAGCAGCCGCGGUAAUACGGAGGGUGCAAGCGUUAAUCGGAAUUACUGGGCGUAAAGCGCACGCAGGCGGUCUGUCAAGUCGGAUGUGAAAUCCCCGGGCUCAACCUGGGAACUGCAUUCGAAACUGGCAGGCUAGAGUCUUGUAGAGGGGGGUAGAAUUCCAGGUGUAGCGGUGAAAUGCGUAGAGAUCUGGAGGAAUACCGGUGGCGAAGGCGGCCCCCUGGACAAAGACUGACGCUCAGGUGCGAAAGCGUGGGGAGCAAACA
This 427-nucleotide ribosomal RNA is filed under the name uncultured bacterium. RNAcentral's name for it is "partial 16S ribosomal RNA". It matches the Rfam family "Bacterial small subunit ribosomal RNA", at positions 355 to 774 of the family's 1533-position model. The record is from RNAcentral.